CUAUUUCAUAUACGUGUAUCUUAAUAUAGUAAACACACAUAUGCCUCCAAAUCACUCUGUAUUUUUAGACUAAGAAAAGAAGAACUGGGGAUUUUAUUCGAAACGCCUGCCUUUGGAGAGUGUACUUCGGUCAGCACCCGCUCCUGUGUCUGCCUUUGCAUGUCUGUAUGUCUAGAAUCAUGGUGUUUAAUUAGAGAGUAAGAGAUACAGUUCACAUCCUUAACCAAAUAUUAGUUCUGUAUGAUACAGCAGGAGAAAGUACAUAUAUCUGAGAAUGACCUUAAGUUUUUCAGGCUGCUUACUACAGUAUUAGCUUAUAAAAUCUGUAACAUACAUGCCUCAGAGAAUUAAGAGCA
This 356-nucleotide long non-coding RNA is filed under the name Bos taurus (domestic cattle). RNAcentral describes it as "long non-coding RNA NONBTAT001671". Lineage: Eukaryota; Metazoa; Chordata; Mammalia; Artiodactyla; Bovidae. The record is from RNAcentral.